GCAUAUCAAUAAGCGGAGGAAAAGAAACCAACCGGGAUUGCCUUAGUAACGGCGAGUGAAGCGGCAAAAGCUCAAAUUUGAAAUCUGGUACCUUCGGUGCCCGAGUUGUAAUUUGGAGAGGGCAACUUUGGGGCCGUUCCUUGUCUAUGUUCCUUGGAACAGGACGUCAUAGAGGGUGAGAAUCCCGUGUGGCGAGGAGUGCGGUUCUUUGUAAAGUGCCUUCGAAGAGUCGAGUUGUUUGGGAAUGCAGCUCUAAGUGGGUGGUAAAUUCCAUCUAAAGCUAAAUAUUGGCGAGAGACCGAUAGCGAACAAGUACAGUGAUGGAAAGAUGAAAAGAACUUUGAAAAGAGAGUGAAAAAGUACGUGAAAUUGUUGAAAGGGAAGGGCAUUUGAUCAGACAUGGUGUUUUGUGCCCUCUGCUCCUUGUGGGUAGGGGAAUCUCGCAUUUCACUGGGCCAGCAUCAGUUUUGGUGGCAGGAUAAAUCCAUAGGAAUGUAGCUUGCCUCGGUAAGUAUUAUAGCCUGUGGGAAUACUGCCAGCUGGGACUGGGGACUGCGACGUAAGUCAAGGAUGCUGGCAUAAUGGUUAUAUGCCGCCCGUCUUGAAACACGGACC
Molecule: ribosomal RNA, 615 nt
Filed under: uncultured yeast
Lineage: Eukaryota; Fungi
Description: eukaryotic LSU rRNA
Rfam family: Eukaryotic large subunit ribosomal RNA
Source: RNAcentral